Molecule: transfer RNA, 63 nt
Filed under: Mandarella flaviventris
Lineage: Eukaryota; Metazoa; Arthropoda; Insecta; Coleoptera; Chrysomelidae
Also listed under: 1 other name
Description: tRNA-Phe
Source: RNAcentral
ACUUAAAUAGCUUAUUUAGAGUAUAACUUUGAAGGUGUUAGGGAAGUCUUGGACUUUUAAGUA